GAAGCCGAACAAAAGAGGCUGAGGGAGCAGCAAAGCCCAAGCGGCGGGCAAGAAGCCGAAGGGCGCAGACGGGCGGGCAGGCUUACCUCUUGAAGACUAGGUUGACAAAUCCUUCCCAAAAUUUAUUUAUAUUCCAACUUUCUUCCUGUGCACAACCUGAAGAUGCUCACAACAUGACUUAAAACAGUACAUACAUCCAUUUGCUUCAGAGCGUUGGAAGAUUCUUCAGAUCAGAUUUGCUGGGGACAUCAGAGGAACCACAAGAAAGCAGAAUCCCAUUGCAUCUCUGUUUUUCUUCUCUCAAAGGAGGCCACUGUAGGCACUAUAUUCAGAAAACAGCCACUGAGUACCUAUUUCAGAUAUAUUGUGUAAUAGAAUUACGUUAAUGAUAUAUUUUAUGAUUUAAUGCUCUGUUGUAACACAGCCAUCACAAAUGCGCAAGAGCAGAGUCAGCUGCCUCUGUUCUUAUUUCCUUCUCACUCUAUGGAGCCACAAGCAUCUGAGAGAAGAAGUGCUGUUUUGUUGUUUAAUCAAUGGCAUCUUUUUUAACACGUGAAAUCAUCCAGACCUUGCAGAUGAAAACACACACGCACACCCCACGGACAUAUGUUAACAAUUCCUGUACUCAACACUCAACAAAUGUUUCAUUGUCACACAUUUUAAAAAAUAGGUUGUAAGUUCUGUGCUUAUAAAAAUGACACUAGAGCUCAUAUCUGUCUGGAAUC
Pogona vitticeps (central bearded dragon) is the source of this 725-nucleotide non-coding RNA. The record is from RefSeq and is a predicted model, not a curated record. Lineage: Eukaryota; Metazoa; Chordata; Lepidosauria; Squamata; Agamidae.